RNAcentral lists this ribosomal RNA (499 nucleotides) under uncultured bacterium. Its description in RNAcentral is "partial 16S ribosomal RNA". It matches the Rfam family "Bacterial small subunit ribosomal RNA", at positions 899 to 1397 of the family's 1533-position model. The record is from RNAcentral.
ACUCAAAUGAAUUGACGGGGGCCCGCACAAGCGGUGGAGCAUGUGGUUUAAUUCGAUGCAACGCGAAGAACCUUACCUACCCUUGACAUCCUAAGAAUCCUGCAGAGAUGUGGGAGUGCCGCAAGGAACUUAGAGACAGGUGCUGCAUGGCUGUCGUCAGCUCGUGUUGUGAGAUGUUGGGUUAAGUCCCGUAACGAGCGCAACCCUUAUCCUUAGUUGCCAACACGUAAUGGUGGGGACUCUAAGGAGACUGCUGGUGAAGAACCGGAGGAAGGCGGGGACGACGUCAAGUCAUCAUGGCCUUUAUGGGUAGGGCUACACACGUGCUACAAUGGGGUAUACAGAGGGUUGCGAAGCGGUGACGUGAAGCCAAUCUCAGAAAGUACCUCGUAGUCCAGAUUGAAGUCUGCAACUCGACUUCAUGAAGUCGGAAUCGCUAGUAAUCGCGAAUCAGAACGUCGCGGUGAAUACGUUCCCGGGCCUUGUACACACCGCCCGU